CUACGGGGGGCUGCAGCUAAGAAUCUUCCGCAAUGGGCGCAAGCCUGACGGAGCGACGCCGCGUGAACGAAGAAGGCCGUGAGGUUGUAAAGUUCUAUUCUUGGGGAGGAAUAAGCCCUGCAGGGAAUGGCAGGGUGAUGACGUGAACCGAGGAAUAAGCCCCGGCUAAUUACGUGCCAGCAGCCGCGGUAACACGUAAGGGGCGAGCGUUGUUCGGAAUUAUUGGGCGUAAAGGGCGCGUAGGCGGGAAUGCAAGCCUGAUGUGAAAUACCCCGGCUCAACUGGGGGGGCGCGUUGGGAACUGUAUUUCUUGAGUAUAAGAGGGGAUGUUGGAAUUCCAGGUGUAGGGGUGAAAUCUGUAGAUAUCUGGAAGAACACCGGCGGCGAAGGCGAACAUCUGGCUAUAUACUGACGCUGAGGCGCGAAAGCGUGGGGAGCGAACAGGAUUAGAUACCCUCGUAGUC
Molecule: ribosomal RNA, 464 nt
Filed under: uncultured bacterium
Lineage: Bacteria
Description: partial 16S ribosomal RNA
Rfam family: Bacterial small subunit ribosomal RNA
Source: RNAcentral